GCCAACGCUGCCGCCGCCAUCUUCUCCUUCCCGGGGCGCUGCCGCUGUUGGGUUGGGGCUGCCCGCUUGGGUGUGCUCCGUGUGCUCGGGUGUGUUCCCUCCGCUCGCCCUGCCGCCUCUCAGCCCCUCGGCUUCCCCUCAGCUUCCCCUCAGCCCCUCGCCCACCCACUGCCCUUCCUCCGGGCAGCAGCCCCGCGGCGCCCCGAGAGCAGCUGCUGCGGCGCCGCGGAGUAAGGGAGCCUUUCGCUGCCCUUCCGCGCCAUUUUAAGCCCCGGCUGUAACACUGAGAGGAGCCUGGUCACAGGUUUCCCUGAGGGCGAUUUCCUGGCGGUUCAGCCCUACCUCACUAGGGAUAAAGAAAUAAAGAUUUGUGAGUUAUUUUUUUGUUUUCCUGAAGAGAUUUGAUGUUGGUUUCCACCACGCAGAAAAGGCUGGUGUCAGGUGUGGGGCACCUCAGGGUUUGGCAGGGCUACACAGCACCAUCCUGCCCCUGACAUGUAGGGAAAGCCAGGGGUUGUGCAGGAGCCUGCUUUAAGCCUUCCUGUGCUCAAAAUGUGAGCCUAGAUCGUGAUAAACACGAAAAAGGUUUCUCAAAGGAUCUGAAUUCUGCUGCCAGUUUCUAGAGGAUAUGUGUUACUCCCUUGAGCUUGGCUGUAGGCAGAGUGUAAAAUACGAGGGAAGGGCAGCUUCUCCAGGCAAGAAGCCAUGGAGGUGGUGGACAAGUCCCCACAGGCAUUCUGACUCCCUUGGCUGCAACAGGGCCUCAUGUGGUUUCCUUGGCUACAACACAACACAGGAGUCGCUGCCCUGCUGGAAGUCUCAGCCACAGAGGAAAACUGAGAACACAAGGUAUCCAAGCCACCAGUUCCCAUGGACACUGCUGCUGCUCAGGCAGGGAACUUCUCUUCAUGGCUGACCUGGCAAACACAGCCCCAGCAUUGCAAAGCCAUGAUCUUUUUCAGGAAGGAAAACACCUCACCUGGGGACAAAUAAGUGUCAAAGUACAACAGUUCUCCAUGGGCAGAAUUUGUUGUUACCACUCUCCUGCCAAAAGCCCACUCAGCCCUGUCCAGAGAAGGUCAGCAGGGAGGGAAAGCUGUCCUGCAUGUUCUCUGUCAGCAGCAAAAUGGACAGGCAUCAGCAGUGACCAGGAAGGCAAGUGUUUAUUCUGCAGUUGGAAAGGAGAUUCAUCUGCUGUGGCUGUUUCAGCAAACCCUUGGAAUUGCCAGCAGCAAAUGUAA
RNAcentral lists this long non-coding RNA (1241 nucleotides) under Taeniopygia guttata (zebra finch). Its description in RNAcentral is "lncRNA (ENSTGUG00000025807.1)". The record is from RNAcentral. Lineage: Eukaryota; Metazoa; Chordata; Aves; Passeriformes; Estrildidae.